RNAcentral lists this ribosomal RNA (780 nucleotides) under Lacticaseibacillus casei. Its description in RNAcentral is "bacterial SSU rRNA". It matches the Rfam family "Bacterial small subunit ribosomal RNA", at positions 666 to 1445 of the family's 1533-position model. The record is from RNAcentral. Lineage: Bacteria; Bacillati; Bacillota; Bacilli; Lactobacillales; Lactobacillaceae.
ACUCCAUGUGUAGCGGUGAAAUGCGUAGAUAUAUGGAAGAACACCAGUGGCGAAGGCGGCUGUCUGGUCUGUAACUGACGCUGAGGCUCGAAAGCAUGGGUAGCGAACAGGAUUAGAUACCCUGGUAGUCCAUGCCGUAAACGAUGAAUGCUAGGUGUUGGAGGGUUUCCGCCCUUCAGUGCCGCAGCUAACGCAUUAAGCAUUCCGCCUGGGGAGUACGACCGCAAGGUUGAAACUCAAAGGAAUUGACGGGGGCCCGCACAAGCGGUGGAGCAUGUGGUUUAAUUCGAAGCAACGCGAAGAACCUUACCAGGUCUUGACAUCUUUUGAUCACCUGAGAGAUCAGGUUUCCCCUUCGGGGGCAAAAUGACAGGUGGUGCAUGGUUGUCGUCAGCUCGUGUCGUGAGAUGUUGGGUUAAGUCCCGCAACGAGCGCAACCCUUAUGACUAGUUGCCAGCAUUUAGUUGGGCACUCUAGUAAGACUGCCGGUGACAAACCGGAGGAAGGUGGGGAUGACGUCAAAUCAUCAUGCCCCUUAUGACCUGGGCUACACACGUGCUACAAUGGAUGGUACAACGAGUUGCGAGACCGCGAGGUCAAGCUAAUCUCUUAAAGCCAUUCUCAGUUCGGACUGUAGGCUGCAACUCGCCUACACGAAGUCGGAAUCGCUAGUAAUCGCGGAUCAGCACGCCGCGGUGAAUACGUUCCCGGGCCUUGUACACACCGCCCGUCACACCAUGAGAGUUUGUAACACCCGAAGCCGGUGGCGUAACCCUUUAG